GCCGGGCGUGGUGGCAUGCACCUGUAAUCCCAGCUACUCAGGAGGCUGAGGCAGGAGAAUCGCUUGAACCCAGGAGAUGGAGGUUGCAGUGAGCCAAGAUUGUACCACUGCACUCCAGCCUGGGUGACAGAGCGAGACUCUGUCUCAA
RNAcentral lists this non-coding RNA (148 nucleotides) under Pan troglodytes (chimpanzee). The record is from Rfam by way of RNAcentral. Lineage: Eukaryota; Metazoa; Chordata; Mammalia; Primates; Hominidae.